CCUACGGGGUGCAGCAGUGAGGAAUAUUGGUCAAUGGGCGGGAGCCUGAACCAGCCAAGUCGCGUGAGGGAAGACGGUCCUACGGAUUGUAAACCUCUUUUGCCGGGGAGCAACGGGGUCCUUGCGAGGGCCCAAUGAGAGUACCCGGAGAAAAAGCAUCGGCUAACUCCGUGCCAGCAGCCGCGGUAAUACGGAGGAUGCGAGCGUUAUCCGGAUUUAUUGGGUUUAAAGGGUGCGUAGGCGGGCUGUUAAGUCAGCGGUCAAAUGUCGGGGCUCAACCCCGGCCUGCCGUUGAAACUGGCGGCCUCGAGUGGGCGAGAAGUAUGCGGAAUGCGUGGUGUAGCGGUGAAAUGCAUAGAUAUCACGCAGAACACCGAUUGCGAAGGCAGCUUACCAAGCUACUUCUGACGUUGAGGCACGAAAGCGUGGGGAGCAAACAGGAUUAGAUACCCGAGUAGUC
Molecule: ribosomal RNA, 460 nt
Filed under: uncultured bacterium
Lineage: Bacteria
Description: partial 16S ribosomal RNA
Rfam family: Bacterial small subunit ribosomal RNA
Source: RNAcentral